GGUGACCUGGGGAGGAUCAUUAUCGAGUUUUGAACGGGUUGUAGCUGGCCUCAUANNNUGNCAUGUGCACGCCUGUCUUCAUCCACUCUUCAACCUCUGUGCACUUAUUGUAGGCUGGUGAAGGGUCGCAUAGUAAUGUGCGGCUUGAAGCCUGGUCUACGUUUUACUACAAACGCUUCAGUUAUAGAAUGUCUAUCUGCGUAUAACGCAUUUAAUAUACAACUUUCAGCAACGGAUCUCUUGGCUCUCGCAUCGAUGAAGAACGCAGCGAAAUGCGAUAAGUAAUGUGAAUUGCAGAAUUCAGUGAAUCAUCGAAUCUUUGAACGCACCUUGCGCUCCCUGGUAUUCCGGNGAGCAUGCCUGUUUGAGUGUCAUGGAAUUCUCAACUUCUAAUACUUUUUUGUAUCAGAAGCUUGGAUUUGGAGGCUCGUGCUGGCUCUCUCGUUAGAGUCGGCUCCUCUUAAAUGAAUUAGCGUGAAUCACUAUGGAUCGCUUCGGUGUGAUAAUUAUCUGCGCCGUAGUCGUGAAGUAUUAAUAAAAGUUCUCGCUUCUAAUCGUCCUUCACGGGACAAUUAACCCUGACUUUUUGACCUCAAAUCAGGUAGGACUACCCGCUGAACUUAAGCAUAUCAAUAAGCGGAGGAAAAGAAACUAACAAGGAUUCCCCUAGUAACUGCNAGUGAAGCGGGAAAAGCUCAAAUUUAAAAUCUGGUAGCCUUCGGUGCCCGAGUUGUAUNCGGA
This 741-nucleotide ribosomal RNA is filed under the name Phlebiopsis gigantea. Its description in RNAcentral is "eukaryotic LSU rRNA". The stretch from base 221 to 374 matches the Rfam family "5.8S ribosomal RNA". The record is from RNAcentral. Lineage: Eukaryota; Fungi; Basidiomycota; Agaricomycetes; Polyporales; Phanerochaetaceae.